AUCAACUUUCGAUGGUAGGAUAGAGGCCUACCAUGGUGGUAACGGGUAACGGGGUGUUAGGGCACGACACCGGAGAGGGAGCCUGAGAAACGGCUACCACAUCCAAGGAUGGCAGCAGGCGCGCAAAUUACCCAAUCCCGACACGGGGAGGUAGUGACAAUAAAUAACAAUACGGGGUUCUUUCGGAUCUCGUAAUUGGAAUGAGUACAAUUUAAAUCUCUUAACGAGGAACAAUUGGAGGGCAAGUCUGGUGCCAGCAGCCGCGGUAAUUCCAGCUCCAAUAGCGUAUAUUAAAGUUGUUGCAGUUAAAAAGCUCGUAGUUGAAUUUCGGGACCAAUUUGUUGGUCGUGCCUCGGUACGUACUGGUAUUAUUGGUUUCUACCUUCUGAAGAACCUUGAUGUCAUUAAUUUGGUGUCUUGGGGAAUCAGGACUGUUACUUUGAAAAAAUUAGAGUGUUUAAAGCAAGCGUACGCUUGAAUACAUUAGCAUGGAAUAAUGAAAUAGGACGUUUGAUUCUAUUUUGUUGGUUUCUAGGAUCGACGUAAUGACUAAUAGGGAUAGUUGGGGGCAUUAGUAUUCAAUUGUCAGAGGUGAAAUUCUUGGAUUUAUUGAAGACUAACUACUGCGAAAGCAUUUGCCAAGGAUGUUUUCAUUAAUCAAGAACGAAAGUUAGGGGAUCGAAGACGAUCAGAUACCGUCGUAGUCUUAACCAUAAACUAUGCCGACUAGGGAUCGGAUGAUGUUAAUUUUUUAAUGACUCAUUCGGCGCCUUACGGGAAACCAAAGUGUUUGGG
Molecule: ribosomal RNA, 795 nt
Filed under: uncultured Glomus
Lineage: Eukaryota; Fungi; Glomeromycota; Glomeromycetes; Glomerales; Glomeraceae
Description: SSU rRNA
Rfam family: Eukaryotic small subunit ribosomal RNA
Source: RNAcentral